GGAUGUGAGGGUGAUCUGGCUGCGACAUCUGUCACCCCAUUGAUCGCCAGGGUUGAUUUGGCUGAUCUGGCUGGCUAGGCGGGUGUCCCCUUCCUCCCUCACCGCUCCACGUGCAUCCCUCCUGAAGCUGCGUGCUUGGUCGAAGAGGACAACCAUCCCCGAUAGAGGAGGAUUGUUCUUCGGUCAAGGGUAUACGAGUAGCUGUGCUUCCCUGCUAGAACCUCCAAACAAGCUCUCAAGAUCUCUUCACUAGUUAAUGCACCAGUAUUGUUACCUUUCAUUAUAAAAUGAUCAUUUAAAGUUUUAUGUCUGUAUUACGGUAUGCCUCCAUAAAUUUUU
This 339-nucleotide small nuclear RNA is filed under the name Castor canadensis (American beaver). RNAcentral describes it as "7SK RNA (ENSCCNG00000011077.1)". The stretch from base 1 to 305 matches the Rfam family "7SK RNA". Rfam says of the family: 7SK was discovered as an abundant small nuclear RNA in the mid-70s but a possible function has only recently been suggested. Two independent studies have found that 7SK RNA binds the CDK9/cyclin T complex (known as elongation factor P-TEFb). P-TEFb activates transcription by phosphorylating the C-terminal domain of RNA polymerase II. The record is from RNAcentral. Lineage: Eukaryota; Metazoa; Chordata; Mammalia; Rodentia; Castoridae.